This 484-nucleotide ribosomal RNA is filed under the name uncultured bacterium. Its description in RNAcentral is "partial 16S ribosomal RNA". It matches the Rfam family "Bacterial small subunit ribosomal RNA", at positions 28 to 507 of the family's 1533-position model. The record is from RNAcentral.
AUUGAACGCUGGCGGCAUGCUUUACACAUGCAAGUCGAACGGCAGCGCGGGCUUCGGCCUGGCGGCGAGUGGCGAACGGGUGAGUAAUGCAUCGGAACGUGCCCAGUAGUGGGGGAUAGCCCGGCGAAAGCCGGAUUAAUACCGCAUACGACCUGAGGGUGAAAGCCGGGGACCGAAAGGCCUCGCGCUAUUGGAGCGGCCGAUGUCGGAUUAGCUAGUUGGUGGGGUAAAGGCUUACCAAGGCGACGAUCCGUAGCUGGUCUGAGAGGACGACCAGCCACACUGGGACUGAGACACGGCCCAGACUCCUACGGGAGGCAGCAGUGGGGAAUUUUGGACAAUGGGGGCAACCCUGAUCCAGCCAUGCCGCGUGCGGGAAGAAGGCCUUCGGGUUGUAAACCGCUUUUGUUCGGGAAGAAAUCCUCUGGGCUAAUACCCCGGGGGGAUGACGGUACCGGAAGAAUAAGCACCGGCUAACUACGUG